GCAUAUCAAUAAGCGGAGGAAAAGAAAAUAACAAUGAUUCCCCUAGUAACGGCGAGUGAAGAGGGACAAGCUCAAAUUUAAAAUCUGUUAGGUUUUACCUAAUCGAGUUGUAAUUUGAAGGAGCGUUUUCCGCGUCUUUAUUGGCCCAAAUCCUUUGGGAUAAGGUAUCAUGGAGGGUGAGAAUCCCGUUCGGCUGAUAUCAUGACGCUUUACGAUACGUUUCCAAAGAGUCGAGUUGUUUGGGAUUGCAGCUCAAAAUGGGAGGUAAAUUUCUCCUAAGGCUAAAUAUUGGCGAGAGACCGAUAGCGAACAAGUACCGUGAGGGAAAGAUGAAAAGAACUUUGAAAAGAGAGUUAAAAAGUACGUGAAAUUGUUGAAAGGGAAACGAUUGAAGUCAGUCGUACCGACGAAAAUUCAACUCAUCGAAUGGGUAUUCGCGGGCGUAUAGAGCUUCACGGCCUCAUCGUUUACGAAUGCAUGUUUUUUGGAUGUACUUUUUCGUAUGGUAGGUCAGCGUCGGUUUCGAUUACUAUAAAAUGAUCGGAGGAAUGUAGCUUCGAUUUCGGUUGAAGUGUUAUAGCCUUUGGUAGAUGUAGUGAUUGGGACCGAGGAUUGCAACGAAUACCCUUUUGGGCUAUCCGUCUGACCUCUGAAAGUUGCUUAGGUGCCGAAAGCUUGCUUACGGUUAUUUAAGUUAGCGGUCAAAAGGUUAGAACGCGAUUAAAUUCGUUAAGGAUGUUGACGUA
This 746-nucleotide ribosomal RNA is filed under the name uncultured Glomerales. RNAcentral's name for it is "LSU rRNA". It matches the Rfam family "Eukaryotic large subunit ribosomal RNA", at positions 38 to 633 of the family's 3401-position model. The record is from RNAcentral. Lineage: Eukaryota; Fungi; Glomeromycota; Glomeromycetes; Glomerales; Glomeraceae.